This 358-nucleotide ribosomal RNA is filed under the name uncultured bacterium. Its description in RNAcentral is "bacterial SSU rRNA". It matches the Rfam family "Bacterial small subunit ribosomal RNA", at positions 28 to 384 of the family's 1533-position model. The record is from RNAcentral.
GAUGAACGCUAGCGGCAGGCUUAAUACAUGCAAGUCGAACGGUAAGCUUGGUAGCAAUACUAAGUCAAGAGUGACGUACGGGUGCGUAACACGUAUGCAACCUACCUUGUACAGGAGGAUAGCUCGGGGAAACUCGAAUUAACCCUCCAUGAGAUAGUAGUGAGGCAUCUCACAGUUAUUAAAACUCAGGUGGUACAAGAUGGGCAUGCGUCUGAUUAGAGUUGGCAGUGUAAUGGACUACCAAGACGAUGAUCAGUAGGGGACCUGAGAGGGUGACUCCCCCANACUGGCACUGAGAUACGGGCCAGACUCCUACGGGAGGCAGCAGUAGGGAAUAUUGGUCAAUGGGUGAGAGCCU